GGGACUCGGGUAAUGAUGGUAUUUAAGCUCUUCCAAUUAUCGAGCACCGACCCUGUCUGCGGCGGGCUCAGCACUUGGCAGGCAGCAGCUCGCAGUGUCACCCCAGAACUCCCGCGACGGAGGCCCUGCUCUUGGAGAGGAGGCAGCUGGGGCGCCCAGGCCCGUCCCGUGAUUAAGUUCAGGGCUCAGGAAUUUCUAACGGAUUCACGUUCACGCCGAUGCAGCGGGGCAGCCUGUCGCGUUGUAAUCUCACCUCUGGAAAUCAGAGAAUUUGAUUUAAGAUGACAAUCUCCAAACAAGAAAGUCUUUUACACAGGAAGAUGUUUGCAACAGUGCUAUUGAAAAUGGUGAGAAACUGGCCAACUACCUAGAGAUCUUAAAGGGGAGCGGUCAAAUGAACAACCGUCUAUCUCCUGGAAAAAUGUUAGAUAGACAUUUUUAAAAGGUGAUUACUCGGUAUUAACAGAAACAUUUCGUAAUAAUGUGAAAUUUGGCAUGAUUGUAGCUAUGUUAAAAAAACCACACACACACACACACACACAUACACACACACACCAAACUUGCAUCCAAAAUGCCUGCGUAGGAAAAAACAGCAAAAGAAAACACAGCAAAAUGCUAAUGGUUUAUGUGACCUUGGGUGACUUCUAAUUUCUUCUUUCCACUUCUCUAAAACAAGCAUGAAUAACUUAUACUAUGAUUAGUUACACU
Molecule: long non-coding RNA, 708 nt
Filed under: Dasypus novemcinctus (nine-banded armadillo)
Lineage: Eukaryota; Metazoa; Chordata; Mammalia; Cingulata; Dasypodidae
Description: lncRNA (ENSDNOG00000049880.1)
Source: RNAcentral